UAAAUAAAGUUGGGGUGCCCUGAGCUGAGAAUAUACCCAUUGAACCUGAUGCCGCUAGCACGGUCGCAGGAAACUUCGAAAAGCGGAUU
RNAcentral lists this non-coding RNA (89 nucleotides) under Fructobacillus sp. RNAcentral's name for it is "TPP sequence". It matches the Rfam family "TPP riboswitch aptamer (THI element)". From Rfam's summary of the family: Vitamin B(1) in its active form thiamin pyrophosphate (TPP) is an essential coenzyme that is synthesised by coupling of pyrimidine and thiazole moieties in bacteria. The previously detected thiamin-regulatory element, thi box was extended, resulting in a new, highly conserved RNA secondary structure, the THI element, which is widely distributed in eubacteria and also occurs in some archaea. Analysis of operon structures identified a large number of new candidate thiamin-regulated genes, mostly transporters, in various prokaryotic organisms. Lineage: Bacteria; Bacillati; Bacillota; Bacilli; Lactobacillales; Lactobacillaceae. The record is from RNAcentral.